Molecule: ribosomal RNA, 423 nt
Filed under: uncultured bacterium
Lineage: Bacteria
Description: bacterial SSU rRNA
Rfam family: Bacterial small subunit ribosomal RNA
Source: RNAcentral
AAGACCUUGCACUUUUGGAGCGGCCGAUGUCUGAUUAGCUAGUUGGUGGGGUAAUGGCCUACCAAAGCUUCGAUCAGUAGCUGGUCUGAGAGGACGGCCAGCCACACUGGGACUGAGACACGGCCCAGACUCCUACGGGAGGCAGCAGUGGGGAAUUUUGGACAAUGGGCGCAAGCCUGAUCCAGCCAUGCCGCGUGAGUGAAGAAGGCCUUCGGGUCGUAAAGCUCUUUCAGCCGGGAAGAAAAGGUUGCGACUAAUAAUCGCAAUCCAUGACGGUACCGAAAGAAGAAGCACCGGCUAACUACAUGCCAGCAGCCGCGGUAAUACGUAGGGUGCGAGCGUUAAUCGGAAUUACUGGGCGUAAAGGGUGCGCAGGCGGUUUUGUAAGUCAGAUGUGAAAUCCCCGGGCUUAACCUGGGAACU